RNAcentral lists this ribosomal RNA (420 nucleotides) under bacterium. RNAcentral describes it as "partial 16S ribosomal RNA". It matches the Rfam family "Bacterial small subunit ribosomal RNA", at positions 355 to 776 of the family's 1533-position model. The record is from RNAcentral.
UGGGGGAUAUUGCACAAUGGGCGAAAGCCUGAUGCAGCGACGCCGCGUGGGGGAUGAAGGCUUUCGGGUUGUAAACCUCUUUCGCUAUCGAACAAGGCCCGCUUAGGGUGGGUUGAGGGUAGGUGGAGAAGAAGCGCCGGCUAACUACGUGCCAGCAGCCGCGGUAAUACGUAGGGCGCGAGCGUUGUCCGGAAUUAUUGGGCGUAAAGGGCUUGUAGGUGGCUUGUUGCGCCUGCUGUGAAAACGCGGGGCUUAACUUCGCGCGUGCAGUGGGUACGGGCAGGCUUGAGUGUGGUAGGGGUGACUGGAAUUCCAGGUGUAGCGGUGGAAUGCGCAGAUAUCUGGAGGGACACCGAUGGCGAAGGCAGGUCACUGGGCCAUUACUGACGCUGAGGAGCGAAAGCAUGGGUAGCGAACAGG